Molecule: ribosomal RNA, 253 nt
Filed under: uncultured bacterium
Lineage: Bacteria
Description: partial 16S ribosomal RNA
Rfam family: Bacterial small subunit ribosomal RNA
Source: RNAcentral
UACGUAGGGGGCGAGCGUUGUCCGGAGUUACUGGGCGUAAAGGGCAUGCAGGCGGUCGGACGCGUUUCGGGUGACAGCGGGUGGCUUAACUACCCGAGUGGUCGAAAGACGGUUUGACUUGAGGACGCGAGAGGGACACGGAAUUCCGGGUGGAGUGGUGAAAUGCGUAGAGAUCCGGAGGAACACCGAAGGCGAAGGCAGUGUCCUGGGGAGUGUCUGACGCUCAGGCGCGAAAGCUAGGGGAGCGAACAGG